Molecule: ribosomal RNA, 427 nt
Filed under: uncultured bacterium
Lineage: Bacteria
Description: partial 16S ribosomal RNA
Rfam family: Bacterial small subunit ribosomal RNA
Source: RNAcentral
UGGGGAAUAUUGCACAAUGGGCGCAAGCCUGAUGCAGCCAUGCCGCGUGUAUGAAGAAGGCCUUCGGGUUGUAAAGUACUUUCAGCGGGGAGGAAGGCGAUAAGGUUAAUAACUUUGUCGAUUGACGUUACCCGCAGAAGAAGCACCGGCUAACUCCGUGCCAGCAGCCGCGGGAAUACGGAGGGUGCAAGCGUUAAUCGGAAUUACUGGGCGUAAAGCGCACGCAGGCGGUCUGUCAAGUCGGAUGUGAAAUCCCCGGGCUCAACCUGGGAACUGCAUUCGAAACUGGCAGGCUAGAGUCUUGUAGAGGGGGGUAGAAUUCCAGGUGUAGCGGUGAAAUGCGUAGAGAUCUGGAGGAAUACCGGUGGCGAAGGCGGCCCCCUGGACAAAGACUGACGCUCAGGUGCGAAAGCGUGGGGAGCAAACA